AUUAACAGAAUAAGAGAUAAUAAAAUUAAUUACUAGCACUAAUUUUAACUUAUAUUAUUGUUGAAAAGUACGACAUUGUGACAGUACCGCCAUCUGUAUGAACUAGUUUGUGCAUUUAUAGACGAAGAGCGAUACCGAUAAGAUCUUGCAUAAUAUGCCGUUUUACUAUCAAUUGGAUUGCAAUUAAAAAGUGCAUCACCACGUGUUCCAUCAGGACAGGUACAAACAGCAAUAUGACGCCUUGGAGUGCAAACGGCAUUUGGUCCACACUCAUAACCAGUACAUGGAUUUUGACAAGUGAAAUCUAUGCAAGCUCGAUUAUCGGGACAUUCACUAUCGCUAAGGCACUCUCCCCGUUGACAUACUUUUAGAGCGUUACCAAUAUAACCAGUAGGACAUGUACAAACUGGUCUUUCUUUACCUGUAUUAUCAUGACCAGGAGUACAAAUUGCAUCUAUACCACAAGGGUUUGGUUCACAAAGAUCUCCUGAAAAUAUAACAUCUUAUUAUAGUUUAAAAGCUUAUAUUUAAAAAAAUAUUUUAAUAAUAAUGCUUUUGAAACAUAUUAAAUACUUGGUUCAAAAUUUCUGCAAUACACAAAAGGAUUCCCUGUCAUAUGUCUUGGACAACUGCAUACAGGAGUAAUAUCACGUAAGUUACAAUCAGCAUUUACUCCACAUACACCGUCACAAGGAUUUAUACAUUUUUGAUAAAAACAAGCAGGUUUGCUAGCUGGACAAUCAGACAAACUUACAUGUGGACAUGUACAUUUGGCAAGAUGAUUGACAACAUCGCAAUUAGCAUUUUUACCACAUUUACAUGGACUUUCACAUUUAAAUAAGGAUGAACAUGCUAGAUGAUUAGGACAUUCAUGGUCAUUUUCACAUUCA
Vespula vulgaris is the source of this 890-nucleotide long non-coding RNA. RefSeq lists it as uncharacterized. Lineage: Eukaryota; Metazoa; Arthropoda; Insecta; Hymenoptera; Vespidae. The transcript is spliced from 3 exons. The record is from RefSeq and is a predicted model, not a curated record.